Molecule: non-coding RNA, 1031 nt
Organism: Chlorocebus sabaeus (green monkey)
Lineage: Eukaryota; Metazoa; Chordata; Mammalia; Primates; Cercopithecidae
Source: RefSeq, a predicted model, not a curated record
UAGCGCUUGAAGCACUUUACCCAAAUCAAGUCCCUUUCGUAUCACUCCUUCCCUGCCUUUCCUACGUAUCCACUCGAAUGCUGAAAGUUGGAGCUCCUUACCCAAAGACUGGGCGGAAGGGGUGACCGCCCUGGACCCCUGCCCGACUUCCCGUUAGGCCAAGCCGCCGUCCUGAAAGGGGAUCGUGUCCAGGCCGGCUUCCUGGAGACACACCUGCGCCUGCACACACCCACCGCGGUCGCGUCACCAGUGCCGCGGCCACCUGGACGAGGACCAAAGUCUGGAGGGAAUUCCCUCAGCCAUAGAGCGAUGGGAAAGCAGGACCCGGUGGAGACUGGAGUCUUGCUAUGCUUUCCAGGCUGGUUUUGAACUCCUAACCUCAAGCGAUUUUCCUGCCUCAGCCUCCCAAAGUGCUGGGAUUACAGGCAUGAUCCACCCGGCCCUGUUGUUUUUAAGAAAAUUACAAGUUAAAUCUUGUAUCAGUGAACAAGAUAAGGGAUGGUGAUGUGGAGCUGCAAUUCCUGGUUCCAAAUCCUGGCUCCUCCCCUCAUCCCUGGAGGUCCAAGGACAGGAGAAUGGGAUGUUGGGAAGCUGCCCCUCAGAGGACAUCUUGGAAACACUGUUAGGUCCUCUAACCCAUCCUUAGACAUCAGGACAGAGACCCACAGAAUGGCACACCCAGACCGGAUCAUGGGGCCUCUGAAUUGUGCUUUGACCGAGCACCAUUCUGUCUCACUCUGGCAGAUGUUACAGGAAACAAUCCUAAGAACUGACUGAGGAAACUUGAGGCAGCCCUGCAGAUAACCACCAGCAAGGCCACAGGAUUUCAUGGCAGAUGCUUCACAAACCAGCUUCUCACUCAGCUCCAUUCUAUUUUACAAAAUAUAUUCCUUCUGCCUUCACUCUUAUGCUGUGAAGUAUUUUUUGUAUGUUGUUCUAUUGUGUAAAGUCACCCUCAAUACUUAUUUUAUUUUUGAGACAGGGUUUCACUCUGUCACCCAGGCUGGAGUGCAGUGGCACGAUCAUAGCUC